This 1414-nucleotide long non-coding RNA is filed under the name Oryctolagus cuniculus (rabbit). RNAcentral's name for it is "lncRNA (ENSOCUG00000036775.1)". Lineage: Eukaryota; Metazoa; Chordata; Mammalia; Lagomorpha; Leporidae. The record is from RNAcentral.
AUGGGCCACACAAGUCUCCAAGUAAUUUCUGCAGAGCAAGGAACUGAGGAUCAGCCAAGCACUUUAAUUGGCGUAGCAGGUAAAGCCGCCACCACCUCUAGUGCCAGUAUCCCAUAUGGGCACUGGUUCGAGUCCCAGAUGCUCUCUGCUAUAGCCUGGGAAAGCAGCAGAAGAUGGCCCAAGUCUUUGGGCCCCUGCACCCAUGUAGGAGACCCAGAAGAAGCUCCAAGCUCCUGGCUCCUGGCUUUGGAUCGGUGCAGCUCCGGCUGUUGCGGUUGGGGUGUAAACCAGCAGAUGGAAGACUUUCUCUCUCUCUCUCUCUCUCUCCUUCUCUGUCUGUUUAACUCUGACUUUCAAAUAAAUAAAUCUUUAAAAAAAUUGUUUCUUUCACAAGGAUGUCUUGUUGGGGCCUAAUGUUCUAACUUAACAGUAAAAAAAAAAAGCUGUCAUUAUCUCUUUUUUUUUAUUUUUUUUUAUUUUUUUUAUUUUAUUUUUUUUUUUAUUUUUGACAGGCAGAGUGGACAGUGAGAGAGAGAGACAGAGAGAGAAAGGUCUUCCUUUGCCGUUGGUUCACCCUCCAAUGGCCGCCGCUGCAGCCGGCGCACCGCGCUGAUCCGAUGGCAGGAGCCAGGAUCCAGGUGCUUUUCCUGGUCUCCCAUGGGGUGCAGGGCCCAAGCACCUGGGCCAUCCUCCACUGCACUCCCUGGCCACAGCAGAGAGCUGGCCUGGAAGAGGGGCAACCGGGACAGAAUCCGGCGCCCCGACCGGGACUAGAACCCGGUGUGCCGGCGCCACAAGGUGGAGGAUUAGCCUAUUGAGCCACGGCGCCGGCUCUGUCAUUAUCUCUUAAAGAAGGAGAAUUGCAUACAAAACCUUACAUAAAUUAUAAUGAAUGCACUGACAAGUGGCAAUGCAAAUCAUUUGCAACUCAAAGCAAGUUACAACUCACAGUGUUCCCGCGGGAAAACACCAGUCAAGAAAGGAAACUGGAUCCUUAGGCUCGGAUUUUUUUUUUUUUUUUUUUUGAGAUUUAUUUAUUUAUUUGAUAGGACAAAUUACACACACACACUGAGAGAGAGAGAGAGAGUGAGUCUUCCAUCUGCCGCUUCAAUCCUGAAAUGGUCACAAUGGCCAGAGCUGGGCCAAACCGAAGCCAGGAGCCAAGAGUUUCUUCCAGGUCUCCUGUGUGGGCGCAGGGGCCCAAGGACUUAGACCAUCUUCCACUGCUUUCCCAGUCCAUAGUAGAGAGCUGGAUUGGAAGUGGAGCAGCCGGGACUCAAACCGGCACCCAUAAGGGAUGCUGGCACUGCAGGCAGUGGCUUUACCUGCUACACUAUAGCGCUGGCCCCUAGGCUCAGAUUUUCCCAAGUCUAUUAGACAGGCAAGACUGAGAUGACAAAUGGCUUAGGAACUC